GUGUGCAGGUGGUGCAUGGCUGUCGUCAGCUCGUGUCGUGAGAUGUUGGGUUAAGUCCCGCAACGAGCGCAACCCUUGUCUCAUGUUGCCAGCACGUAAUGGUGGGGACUCGUGAGAGACUGCCGGGGUCAACUCGGAGGAAGGUGGGGAUGACGUCAAGUCAUCAUGCCCCUUAUGUCCAGGGCUUCACACAUGCUACAAUGGCCGGUGCAAAGGGCUGCGAUGCCGCGAGGUUAAGCGAAUCCUUUAACGCCGGUCUCAGUUCGGAUCGGGGUCUGCAACUCGACCCCGUGAAGUCGGAGUCGCUAGUAAUCGCAGAUCAGCAACGCUGCGGUGAAUACGUUCCCGGGCCUUGUACACACCGCCCGUCACGUCAUGAAAGUCGGUAACACCCGAAGCCAGUGGCCUAACCCUUUGGGAGGGAGCUGUCGAAGGUGGGAUCGGCGAUUG
Molecule: ribosomal RNA, 450 nt
Filed under: Mycobacterium ulcerans
Lineage: Bacteria; Bacillati; Actinomycetota; Actinomycetes; Mycobacteriales; Mycobacteriaceae
Description: bacterial SSU rRNA
Rfam family: Bacterial small subunit ribosomal RNA
Source: RNAcentral